AAUGAACGCUGGCGGUGUGCCUAAUACAUGCAAGUCGAACGACCACACAGUAAGCUCUCGCCCCUGCGGUUGGCGAGUGGCGGGCGGGUAAGAAGUGCAUCACCAUCUACUUUGUCGGGGGGGAUUACGGGGGACAACUUACGCUAAUAGCUCAUACGACCUACGGGUGGAAGCAGUGGAUCUUGGGACCUUUCCUGAUACAUUUAGACGGUGCCGGAUUAGCUAGUUGGCGGGGUAAGGGCACACCAAGGCGACGAUCCGUAGCUGGGCUGAGAGGAUGAUCAGCCACACUGGAACUGAGACACGGUCCAGACUCCUACGGGAGGCAGCAGUGGGGAAUAUUCGACAAUGGGCGAAAGCCUGACGCAGCAAUGCCGCGUGAGUGAAGAAGGUCUUCGGGUUGUAAAGCCCUUUUGUUGGGAAAGAAAAGAAGCGGGUUAAUCCAUGGCUGUUUUGACGGUACCUAAAGAAUAAGCACCGGCUAACUUCGUG
RNAcentral lists this ribosomal RNA (492 nucleotides) under uncultured bacterium. RNAcentral describes it as "partial 16S ribosomal RNA". It matches the Rfam family "Bacterial small subunit ribosomal RNA", at positions 29 to 507 of the family's 1533-position model. The record is from RNAcentral.